GAUGAAGAACGUAGCGAAACGCGAUAGUUAAUGUGAAUUGCAGAAUUCAGUGAAUCAUCGAGUCUUUGAACGCACAUUGCGCCCAUUGGUAUUCCGUUGGGCAUGUCUGUUUGAGCGUCAUUACAACAGUUCAGCGUAAGCUGGUUAUGAGUUCUGUUUUUUUAAACAAAAAACAGGCUUUAAAAUGUAUGUUCUGCAGGUCGCUUUGCUAAACCCUAAACAUUAAAUACUGUUCUAGUGAAGCAUUUGCGACUCUGGCUGAAAAAAAAACUUUUGUUAAAGUUUGACCUCAGAUCAGACAAGGAUACCCGCUGAACUUAAGCAUAUCAAUAAGCGGAGGA
Molecule: unclassified non-coding RNA, 341 nt
Filed under: soil metagenome
Description: partial contains 5.8S ribosomal RNA, internal transcribed spacer 2, and large subunit ribosomal RNA
Rfam family: 5.8S ribosomal RNA (bases 1-120)
Source: RNAcentral